This 565-nucleotide ribosomal RNA is filed under the name uncultured archaeon. Its description in RNAcentral is "bacterial SSU rRNA". It matches the Rfam family "Archaeal small subunit ribosomal RNA", at positions 326 to 891 of the family's 1478-position model. The record is from RNAcentral.
CGGGGUGCAGCAGGCGCGAAAACUUUACAAUGCGGGAAACCGUGAUAAGGGGACACCGAGUGCCAGCAUCAUAUGCUGGCUGUCCAGGUGUGUAAAAUACACCUGUUAGCAAGGGCCGGGCAAGACCGGUGCCAGCCGCCGCGGUAACACCGGCGGCCCGAGUGGUGAUUGUGAUUAUUGGGUCUAAAGGGUCCGUAGCCGGUUUGGUCAGUCCUCCGGGAAAUUUGAUAGCUUAACUAUUAGGCUUUCGGAGGAUACUGCCAGACUUGGAACCGGGAGAGGUAAGAGGUACUACAGGGGUAGGAGUGAAAUCUUGUAAUCCCUGUGGGACCACCUGUGGCGAAGGCGUCUUACCAGAACGGGUUUGACGGUGAGGGACGAAAGCUGGGGGCACGAACCGGAUUAGAUACCCGGGUAGUCCCAGCCGUAAACGAUGCUCGCUAGGUGUCAGGCAUGGCGCGACCGUGUAUGGUGCCGCAGGGAAGCCGUGAAGCGAGCCACCUGGGAAGUACGGCCGCAAGGCUGAAACUUAAAGGAAUUGGCGGGGGAGCACAAGGGCGAAUGC